Molecule: non-coding RNA, 73 nt
Organism: Podarcis lilfordi (Lilford's wall lizard)
Lineage: Eukaryota; Metazoa; Chordata; Lepidosauria; Squamata; Lacertidae
Source: the annotation of a GenBank genome assembly
GAGGACUGUAGCUCAGUGGCAGAGCAACUGCUUCGUGUGCAGUAGGUACCGGGUUCAGUUCCCAACAUCUUUA